UACGGAGGGUGCAAGCGUUAUCCGGAUUUACUGGGUUUAAAGGGUGUGUAGGCGGGCUGUUAAGUCAGUGGUGAAAUCUCCGGGCUCAACCCGGAAACUGCCAUUGAUACUAAUGGUCUUGAAUUUUGUUGAGGUAGGCGGAAUAAGUCAUGUAGCGGUGAAAUGCAUAGAUAUGACUUAGAACACCAAUUGCGAAGGCAGCUUGCUAAACAAAUAUUGACGCUGAGGCGCGUAAGCGUGGGGAUCAAACAGG
RNAcentral lists this ribosomal RNA (253 nucleotides) under uncultured bacterium. RNAcentral describes it as "partial 16S ribosomal RNA". It matches the Rfam family "Bacterial small subunit ribosomal RNA", at positions 524 to 776 of the family's 1533-position model. The record is from RNAcentral.